This 288-nucleotide ribosomal RNA is filed under the name Enterobacter hormaechei. RNAcentral's name for it is "partial 23S ribosomal RNA". It matches the Rfam family "Bacterial large subunit ribosomal RNA", at positions 1920 to 2207 of the family's 2925-position model. Lineage: Bacteria; Pseudomonadati; Pseudomonadota; Gammaproteobacteria; Enterobacterales; Enterobacteriaceae. RNAcentral also lists the same sequence under 1 other name. The record is from RNAcentral.
CCGGUAAACGGCGGCCGUAACUAUAACGGUCCUAAGGUAGCGAAAUUCCUUGUCGGGUAAGUUCCGACCUGCACGAAUGGCGUAAUGAUGGCCAGGCUGUCUCCACCCGAGACUCAGUGAAAUUGAACUCGCUGUGAAGAUGCAGUGUACCCGCGGCAAGACGGAAAGACCCCGUGAACCUUUACUAUAGCUUGACACUGAACACUGGUCCUUGAUGUGUAGGAUAGGUGGGAGGCUUUGAAGCGUGGACGCCAGUCUGCGUGGAGCCAACCUUGAAAUACCACCCUU